CUAAUACAUGCAAGUCGAACGCUUCUUUUCCACCGGAGCUUGCUCCACCGGAAAAAGAGGAGUGGCGAACGGGUGAGUAACACGUGGGUAACCUGCCCAUCAGAAGGGGAUAACACUUGGAAACAGGUGCUAAUACCGUAUAACAAUCGAAACCGCAUGGUUUUGAUUUGAAAGGCGCUUUCGGGUGUCGCUGAUGGAUGGACCCGCGGUGCAUUAGCUAGUUGGUGAGGUAACGGCUCACCAAGGCCACGAUGCAUAGCCGACCUGAGAGGGUGAUCGGCCACAUUGGGACUGAGACACGGCCCAAACUCCUACGGGAGGCAGCAGUAGGGAAUCUUCGGCAAUGGACGAAAGUCUGACCGAGCAACGCCGCGUGAGUGAAGAAGGUUUUCGGAUCGUAAAACUCUGUUGUUAGAGAAGAACAAGGAUGAGAGUAACUGUUCAUCCCUUGACGGUAUCUAACCAGAAAGCCACGGCUAACUACGUGCCAGCAGCCGCGGUAAUACGUAGGUGGCAAGCGUUGUCCGGAUUUAUUGGGCGUAAAGCGAGCGCAGGCGGUUUCUUAAGUCUGAUGUGAAAGCCCCCGGCUCAACCGGGGAGGGUCAUUGGAAACUGGGAGACUUGAGUGCAGAAGAGGAGAGUGGAAUUCCAUGUGUAGCGGUGAAAUGCGUAGAUAUACGGAGGACACCAGUGGCGAAGGCGGCUCUC
RNAcentral lists this ribosomal RNA (708 nucleotides) under uncultured Bacilli bacterium. Its description in RNAcentral is "bacterial SSU rRNA". It matches the Rfam family "Bacterial small subunit ribosomal RNA", at positions 48 to 729 of the family's 1533-position model. Lineage: Bacteria; Bacillati; Bacillota; Bacilli. The record is from RNAcentral.